Molecule: microRNA precursor, 96 nt
Organism: Nicotiana attenuata
Lineage: Eukaryota; Viridiplantae; Streptophyta; Magnoliopsida; Solanales; Solanaceae
Rfam family: MIR6152 microRNA precursor family
Source: Rfam
UGGACAGAUUGUUGUAUUCGACUGUAUUCACGACGUAAAACAAAGGAUUACACUGUUUUUAAAUGGAAAGUGAAUCAAUUAACAUAAUAAACUCCU